GCAUUGGUGGUUCACUGGUAGAAUUCUUGCCUGCCACGCGGGAGACCCGGGUCUGGUUUCUGGCCAAUGCA
This 71-nucleotide transfer RNA is filed under the name Danio rerio (zebrafish). It matches the Rfam family "tRNA". From Rfam's summary of the family: Transfer RNA (tRNA) molecules are approximately 80 nucleotides in length. Their secondary structure includes four short double-helical elements and three loops (D, anti-codon, and T loops). The record is from Rfam by way of RNAcentral. Lineage: Eukaryota; Metazoa; Chordata; Actinopteri; Cypriniformes; Danionidae.